AGGAAAAGAAAAUAACAAUGAUUCCCCUAGUAACGGCGAGUGAAGAGGGAAAAGCUCAAAGUUGGAACCUGGUGGGCAUAGCUCACCCGGAUUGUAAACUAAAGUUUUUGAGUCGUUUAGUCAGCCAGGUAAAUAAGUCCUCUGGAAAGGGGCGACAUAGAGGGUGAAAUCCCCGUCUUUGGCCUGAGUUUUGAUUAGGCGUUUGGCUUGGAAACGAAGAGUCAGGUUGUUUGGGAAUGCAGCCUAAAAUGGGAGGUAAAUCUCUCCUAAAGCUAAAUAUUGACGAAAGACCGAUAGCGAACAAGUACCGUGAGGGAAAGAUGAAAAGCACUUUGAAAAGAGGGUCAAAAAGUACGUGAAAUUGCUGAAAGGGAACCGUAUGAAAUCAGACUUACUGGUAGGUAAUCAAUCUUUCCCUUGGGAAGGAUGCACUUGCCUGCUAUGUACGCCAGCGACAUUUUGGUUGUGGAGGAAAAAAAUAGUUGGAAUGUAGCCUGGGUUUCGGCUUAGGUGUUAUAGACUACUAUAAAAUACUCUCGGCUAGAAUGAGGAACGCAGCAAACCGUAAGGCGAAGAUUUUAGGCGCUUGGGGGGAAUCAUUAGAGAAUUUCUGCUUCGGGUGGUGCUUUAGUGAUUUCGUUCAACUCGUUUGAAUUUCUUUUUAUUUGCUUAGGUUGUUGGCUUAAUGAUUUUAUAUGACC
RNAcentral lists this ribosomal RNA (701 nucleotides) under Cunninghamella blakesleeana. RNAcentral's name for it is "eukaryotic LSU rRNA". It matches the Rfam family "Eukaryotic large subunit ribosomal RNA", at positions 54 to 649 of the family's 3401-position model. Lineage: Eukaryota; Fungi; Mucoromycota; Mucoromycetes; Mucorales; Cunninghamellaceae. The record is from RNAcentral.